This 496-nucleotide ribosomal RNA is filed under the name uncultured bacterium. RNAcentral's name for it is "partial 16S ribosomal RNA". It matches the Rfam family "Bacterial small subunit ribosomal RNA", at positions 29 to 507 of the family's 1533-position model. The record is from RNAcentral.
AUGAACGCUGGCGGCGUGCCUAAUACAUGCAAGUCGAGCGAACGGACGAGAAUCUUGCUUCUCUGAUGUUAGCGGCGGACGGGUGAGUAACACGUGGAUAACCUACCUAUAAGACUGGGAUAACUUCGGGAAACCGUAGCUAAUACCGGAUAAUAUUUUGAACCGCAUGGUUCAAAAGUGGAAGACGGUCUUGCUGUCACUUAUAGAUGGAUCCGCGCUGCAUUAGCUAGUUGGUAAGGUAACGGCUUACCAAGGCAACGAUGCAUAGCCGACCUGAGAGGGUGAUCGGCCACACUGGAACUGAGACACGGUCCAGACUCCUACGGGAGGCAGCAGUAGGGAAUCUUCCGCAAUGGGCGAAAGCCUGACGGAGCAACGCCGCGUGAGUGAUGAAGGUCUUCGGAUCGUAAAACUCUGUUAUUAGGGAAGAACAUAUGUGUAAGUAACUGUGCACAUCUUGACGGUACCUAAUCAGAAAGCCACGGCUAACUACGUG